Non-coding RNA from Colossoma macropomum (tambaqui), 942 nucleotides. Lineage: Eukaryota; Metazoa; Chordata; Actinopteri; Characiformes; Serrasalmidae. The record is from the annotation of a RefSeq genome assembly.
CAGCUGUUCUUCACAAUAACAAAAAGCAGCAGCAAUGAUUAUGAUUGGAAUCAUCAUCUUGACCGUUCUGAACUGCAUCAAAGAAUCCAGAGCAGAAGCUACCAUCAUUCAGGCUCCUUCUUUUGCACUUGUUGAGACAGGACAGACAGUGGUGUUGAGCUGUAAGACGAGUUCCCAUAUCGGACGCCUUUCAGACGGCGACUGCAAGUCAUGCCUGGCAUGGUACUAUCAGAGAGAUGGAAAAACACCUAAAGUUCUCAUCCGCAGUAUCACAACACUUCAGUCUGAUACUCCAUCUCGGUUUGUAGGCAGUGGAAGUGACUAUGGAACUGAAUUCACUCUGACCAUCAGUGGAGUUCAAACUGAAGAUGCAGGGGAUUACUACUGUCAGAGUUACCACUGGAUAAACAGCAAAGGAGUGUUCACUUUUGGUGGCGGAACGAGACUCGAUGUUGGAAAUACCACCCCUCCUAAACUCACAGUCCUGCCUCCCUCCAGUGAAGAGCUGACCAAGGAGCGCAGAGCUACGCUGAUGUGCGUCGCCAACAAGGGCUUCCCUUCAGACUGGACCCUGAACUGGAAAGUAGAUGGAAGAAGCAGAGCUCAGGAGGCCAGCCGUGGGGUCUUGCAGCAGGACGGCCUGUACAGCUGGAGCAGCACCCUGACUCUAACUCAGCAGGAGUGGGAAAGAGGGGUCUCAGUGCUGUGCGAGGCCACCCGCAGCGGUGGGUCUGCUGUCAUAGAGGUCAGGGCAGAGCAAUGUGUUGCAUAGAGUGUUGUCCUUCACUUCUCUGGAUACUGUUGUUUUGUGGUUUUGCUUAAACUUCAGUAUUCAAUCUAAACUGUUUUUCUUUUAGCAGUUGUUCACUUUGCUUUUAGCACAACUGUAUUCAGGCUCUUCAUUAUGUAAUGCUGCUUUUGAUUUACUAGAUAUGAAUAAAG